GAGAAAAAAAAAAAAAAAAGAAAAUUAUCAAGUUACAAAGUUGUAAUAUUUGUCGAUAUUUUACUUUUUUUAAUAAAUUUCAGCCGUUAAUUUUCAAUUGUAUUUGAUGUUAGUCAGUUGAUAUGCAGGUGUGCUUGCUAAUGCUUAUUAAUGAGUUCACCCAUUUUUGAGACCAAGCUUAUCCUCCUAUUUAUUUCCUUUUCUUAUCGUUGGGGUUUUUGAUAAAGCUCUGGUCAAUUGUGAUUUGUGAGUGGUGACUUCUGCCUUUGCUCAACUAGGCGCAAGCAUUCAUCUUGUAAAGAACUUGUUGCCUACACCAUCCGAUCAAUAAUUGACAUAUUUAAAUAAUAAUAGAUCUUGUUAUAACAAUUGUUGAUUAGUUGAGUGUAAAAUAAUUUAUAUAAUAUGAUACAACUAAAAAUUUUCCCAACUCAUAUCCAAGAUAGUUAAACUCGCCUUUCAAAAUUUAGAACAAGUAAGAAGUAUAGAAAUUUAAAUCAUAAAAAUACUCAUGAAAUUAUAAAAUUUUAAAAAAACAUAUAAAAUAAAUAUAACAUAUAUUCAUAUCAUUGUAAAAAU
RNAcentral lists this unclassified non-coding RNA (579 nucleotides) under Hevea brasiliensis (rubber tree). Lineage: Eukaryota; Viridiplantae; Streptophyta; Magnoliopsida; Malpighiales; Euphorbiaceae. The record is from RNAcentral.